This 274-nucleotide ribosomal RNA is filed under the name uncultured bacterium. Its description in RNAcentral is "partial 16S ribosomal RNA". It matches the Rfam family "Bacterial small subunit ribosomal RNA", at positions 523 to 796 of the family's 1533-position model. The record is from RNAcentral.
AUACGGAGGGUGCAAGCGUUAAUCGGAAUUACUGGGCGUAAAGCGCGCGUAGGCGGUUGUUUAAGUCGGAUGUGAAAGCCCUGGGCUCAACCUGGGAACUGCAUUCGAUACUGGGCAACUAGAGUAUGAAAGAGGGAGGUAGAAUUCCAUGUGUAGCGGUGAAAUGCGUAGAUAUGUGGAGGAAUACCAGUGGCGAAGGCGGCCUCCUGGUUCAAUACUGACGCUGAGGUGCGAAAGCGUGGGGAGCAAACAGGAUUAGAUACCCUAGUAGUCC